UUCUGCCCUUCCGUUUUCAUCCUCUAAAAAUCAAAGACCAAAAAACUGCAAGCGCUGAAGCUUUGAGUUCAAACCAUCAACGCUAAAAGAUAAGCAGAAAAUCGAAGAAAAAUGGUUUUGGAAAUUAUGGAACCAAACACUUGUAUCCGGGGUUGUUGCUACAGCCAAACAAUCCCUCUGCAUCUCCGCCCUUCUUCUUAUUCCCUUUUUUCUCCAAUCGCCAGAGGUGCAGAGAGUGUGGUGUAUGAAGCCGUUCUUGAUGGUAAAAAAGUGGCCGUCAAGAAACCAAUUUUAUCUACUUCCGAGGAUCUCGAUAAAUUCCACAAAGAAUUGCAGUUACUCAGCAAGUUAGAUCACCCGGGAAUAUUAAAGCUAGUGGCGGCACAUGCCAGGCCUCCGAACUACAUGUUUUUCUUUGAAUUCUAUGAGGCUGGAAACCUUGCACAGAAGCUGCACGUGGAAGAACGGAGUCUAAGCAUUGGUCAAGUGAUUGAGAUCACUGCCCAGUUAGCAAAAGCUCUUCUAUAUCUGCAUAGCCUUGGGAUUGUACAUAGGGAUGUGAAACCAGCAAAUAUUCUUCUUGACGAGAAUCUUCAUCCACAUCUCGCAGAUUUUGGUUUGGCAGAAUACAAGAAAGAUCUUAAACAAGUUUCUAUCCUGAACUGGAAAUCCUCUGGCAAACCAACUGGUGGUUUCCAUAAAAAAAAUAUGGUUGGCACACUUAUUUACAUGGCACCUGAAGUACUGAGGAAAGAGAUUCAUACUGAAAAAUCAGAUGUCUAUAGUUUUGGAGUAACUGUUAAUGAACUUCUUACCGGUGUAGUUCCAUACACUGAUCGUCGAGCAGAGGCACAGGCCCAUACAGUCUUGGAAAUGAGCUACACUGAGCAGCGACUUACGGCAGCUGUGGUGUCUGAAGGAUUACGACCUGUUCUUGCUGGUCCCGAGUUGGGUGUGCCCACUGGUUUGCUCUCUCUAAUACAGAGAUGUUGGGAUGCAGAUCCUCAAAAUAGACCUUCUCUUAGUGAUAUAGUUUCAGAACUCAAUGUAAUGUUGGAGUGUGGAGAAACAGAAGGUGCAAAGAAAGAUACCUCUGUUGACUCUUUUGUAUCAUGCGGCAAUGUUGAUACCACUAAUAGUCAGAGUUAUCAAGAGCCUAUGAAUUGGUUUACCUGUGGCCAAGAUUUUCCAGAGAAGGCUUAUCUUUCCUCUGAGGAUGCCCCAUCAACCCGGCUUUCUUCAAAUGAUUCUAUGGUUUAUUGUCCAGUGGUUUCUUGUGGUUCCUUUUCAACUUGUGGGAGAAGAGAAACCAUGGAGGAUAGACACUUUAUGUUCCCCCAUUUUUCCAAAGAAAACGACAUCCAUUUCUUCGGGAUCCUGGAUGGUCAUCGAGGUGCUGCUGCCGCUGAGUUUUCAGCUGGGGCUCUACCUGGAUUUUUGCAAACUCUGCUUCCCAUGAGCAGUCCAUCACAGGCACUACUUGAAGCAUUUGUCAAGACUGAUAUUGCCUUCAGGAAUGAACUAAAUUCUCGUAGGGAAUCCAAGGGAACUAUUCAGAAGGACUGGCACCCUGGCUGUACUGCCAUCACUGCUCUAAUAGUUAAAAACAAGCUAUUUGUUGCUAAUGCUGGAGAUUGCAGAACGAUUAUAUCUCGAGCAGGACAACCUAAUGCUUUAAGCAGGGAUCAUGUGGCAAGUUGCCCUGAGGAGAGAGAGCGUGUCAUCAGUGCUGGUGGCCAAGUCAAAUGGCAAGUUGAUACGUGGAGAAUUGGUCCUGCAGCUCUCCAGGUCACACGGUCCAUUGGUGAUGAUGAUCUAAAGCCUUUUGUAACUGCAGAACCUGAGAUGACUGAAACUUUGCUGUCAGCAGAAGAUGAAUACAUAGUAAUGGCGAGCGAUGGGUUAUGGGACGUGGUGAGCAAUGCAGAUGUGGUAAGCAUAAUCAAAGACACUGUAAAAGAGCCCGGAAUGUGCUCAAAGAGACUGGCAACUGAAGCUGCAGAACGAGGCAGCAAAGAUAACAUCACAGUUAUCGUUGUCUUCUUGCGUCCUGUUUCUACAGCGGAGAGGAUUUACUAGCUUCAACAACAAUUUAUUAUACAGAAAUUGUUUAUAUCGAAGAAAAAAUGAAGAUUAAAACGAAUGGCACUGGUGAACGUAGAAAACUGGAGCGCUCCCAACUCAGCCAACCUCAUCGAUCCCAUCUAUCCAUGUGGCAGCUAGCCCUUUCCGAGGGGUCAAGCAGAAGUGCGGAAGAAAACACCGCUCCUUCAGCUGCUGUUCUUCCGGAGGAGCCGCAGCAGGCUGUGCAGGAGAAUCGAGCGGUGAAUGCAGCCGAUCAAGAACGGGAGUAUGGCUGCAAGUACUGCCAUAAGAAGUUCAGCAACAAGCAGGCGUUGGGCGGGCACCAGAACGCGCAUAAGGUAGAACGUGCAAUGGAGAAAAGUGCACGAGAAAUGCACGAGAGCCAGUUUGGAUACAUGGGUGGGAAUCCGUCGUAUUCCGCCAUGAAUCCCGACCCUUUUCUUGCUUCUUACAACAGAUCUCAUGAAUUCAUGAGCAGGGCUGUCGGAAACCGGCCCUUUUAUCCUCCCGUGCAACAUGGGACGUCGAUCCACAUCGGCGGCGCCUACAAUGCACGUCCCGGCAUGGCGGGCGAGCCUUACGCACGCCGUCCUCUCCCAGGGCUUAAUUACCCUGCGGGAUGGACAGCACCCGUGCCUAGAACGCCUCAUUUUGCACAUCCUUCGUAUGUGCAAAACCGUGCUCUAAAUCGUCGGUUUACGACGUUUGGAGCAGGCAGUUCUAGUGGUAGGCCGUCGUUUUCUGAGGGGCCGUCGAGUCUUCCUGGACCAACGCCCAGGCCAGACAGGAACCCUGUAGGCGGCGGAAGCAACCAGCAAGACGAGGAUCCGGACA
Molecule: RNA transcript, 2919 nt
Organism: Sesamum indicum (sesame)
Lineage: Eukaryota; Viridiplantae; Streptophyta; Magnoliopsida; Lamiales; Pedaliaceae
Gene name: protein kinase family protein / protein phosphatase 2C (PP2C) family protein
Source: RefSeq, a predicted model, not a curated record